This 586-nucleotide long non-coding RNA is filed under the name Heterocephalus glaber (naked mole-rat). Its description in RNAcentral is "lncRNA (ENSHGLG00000048146.1)". The record is from RNAcentral. Lineage: Eukaryota; Metazoa; Chordata; Mammalia; Rodentia; Bathyergidae.
AAAAUCCCUGGUGUUUUAGAGUCGAGACUCUCAGUCUUGACCCGCUGCGUCGGUGACAGUUGAGAGUCCCUGCUCGAGCUUGAAUAAACGACCCUCAUGUGCUUGCAUCGGAAACGGCUUCCUGGUGGUCUUUGGGACUUCGCAAUCUGGGCACAACAGCCACAAUAUGGGCUGUUUCCCACUCACCACCACACUGGCUUCUCAUGGAGUUUGGAAAACAGAAUGGGAAGCUUGACUCCCACUGGCUGAGAGCUGGUAGCAAGGAAAUUGCUGAUUUUGGAUACAGCAAGGGAGGAGUCAUGAGGAAAUUUAAAACAGCAACAGAGACAUGGGAAUUAUAAGGAAAAGAACACAGAACACUACUAGCACAUGCUGGUGUCUGACCCGCGUAAAUCAUCUAUCAAAUGGGAACAUUUCCAUCUUGUGUACCGUAUGGUGAUAGAAAUUUGGUAAGAUAAAACCAUGAAAAUAUUUAGAGAAGUAUUACACAAAUAUAAGUAGUCUUUGUUAUUGAAACAUUUAUGAAGAUACUAACGCCUCAGAGGAUUUUCUGAAAAGGGCUUGUUUGUAGUGUUGCUGAUGUAAG